This 1914-nucleotide ribosomal RNA is filed under the name Campylobacter coli. RNAcentral describes it as "partial 23S ribosomal RNA". It matches the Rfam family "Bacterial large subunit ribosomal RNA", at positions 1 to 1786 of the family's 2925-position model. Lineage: Bacteria; Pseudomonadati; Campylobacterota; Epsilonproteobacteria; Campylobacterales; Campylobacteraceae. The record is from RNAcentral.
AGGUAAGCUACUAAGAGCGAAUGGUGGAUGCCUUGACUGGUAAAGGCGAUGAAGGACGUACUAGACUGCGAUAAGCUACGGGGAGCUGUCAAGAAGCUUUGAUCCGUAGAUUUCCGAAUGGGGCAACCCAAUGUAUAGAGAUAUACAUUACCUAUAUAGGAGCGAACGAGGGGAAUUGAAACAUCUUAGUACCCUCAGGAAAAGAAAUCAAUAGAGAUUGCGUCAGUAGCGGCGAGCGAAAGCGCAAGAGGGCAAACCCAGUGCUUGCACUGGGGGUUGUAGGACUGCAAUGUGCAAGAGGUGAGUUUAGCAGAACAUUCUGGAAAGUAUAGCCAUAGAGGGUGAUAGUCCCGUAUGCGAAAAACAAACCUUAGCUAGCAGUAUCCUGAGUAGGGCGGGACACGAGAAAUCCUGUCUGAAGCUGGGUCGACCACGAUCCAACCCUAAAUACUAAUACCAGAUCGAUAGUGCACAAGUACCGUGAGGGAAAGGUGAAAAGAACUGAGGUGAUCAGAGUGAAAUAGAACCUGAAACCAUUUGCUUACAAUCAUUCAGAGCCCUAUGUAGCAAUACAGGGUGAUGGACUGCCUUUUGCAUAAUGAGCCUGCGAGUUGUGGUGUCUGGCAAGGUUAAGCAAACGCGAAGCCGUAGCGAAAGCGAGUCUGAAUAGGGCGCUUAGUCAGAUGCUGCAGACCCGAAACGAAGUGAUCUAUCCAUGAGCAAGUUGAAGCUAGUGUAAGAACUAGUGGAGGACUGAACCCAUAGGCGUUGAAAAGCCCCGGGAUGACUUGUGGAUAGGGGUGAAAGGCCAAUCAAACUUCGUGAUAGCUGGUUCUCUCCGAAAUAUAUUUAGGUAUAGCGUUGUGUCGUAAUAUAAGGGGGUAGAGCACUGAAUGGGCUAGGGCAUACACCAAUGUACCAAACCCUAUCAAACUCCGAAUACCUUAUAUGUAAUCACAGCAGUCAGGCGGCGAGUGAUAAAAUCCGUCGUCAAGAGGGAAACAACCCAGACUACCAGCUAAGGUCCCUAAAUCUUACUUAAGUGGAAAACGAUGUGAAGUUACUUAAACAACCAGGAGGUUGGCUUAGAAGCAGCCAUCCUUUAAAGAAAGCGUAAUAGCUCACUGGUCUAGUGAUUUUGCGCGGAAAAUAUAACGGGGCUAAAGUAAGUACCGAAGCUGUAGACUUGCGCACAACUUAGAUUAUUUAAGUUUAGAAUAUGAGAAACUAAGUUAUAUGUUUAGUUAUAUUUUUACUGAUUUUUAUAGAGUAAAGAUAGAAAUAAAACUUAGUAAAAUCAGUAAAAAUAUUCUUAGACUAAAGUUAAGUAGUUUAAGUUGUGUGCAAGUGGUAGGAGAGCGUUCUAUUUGCGUCGAAGGUAUACCGGUAAGGAGUGCUGGAGCGAAUAGAAGUGAGCAUGCAGGCAUGAGUAGCGAUAAUUAAUGUGAGAAUCAUUAACGCCGUAAACCCAAGGUUUCCUACGCGAUGCUCGUCAUCGUAGGGUUAGUCGGGUCCUAAGUCGAGUCCGAAAGGGGUAGACGAUGGCAAAUUGGUUAAUAUUCCAAUACCAACAUUAGUGUGCGAUGGAAGGACGCUUAGGGCUAAGGGGGCUAGCGGAUGGAAGUGCUAGUCUAAGGUCGUAGGAGGUUAUACAGGCAAAUCCGUAUAACAAUACUCCGAGAACUGAAAGGCUUUUUGAAGUCUUCGGAUGGAUAGAAGAACCCCUGAUGCCGUCGAGCCAAGAAAAGUUUCUAAGUUUAGCUAAUGUUGCCCGUACCGUAAACCGACACAGGUGGGUGGGAUGAGUAUUCUAAGGCGCGUGGAAGAACUCUCUUUAAGGAACUCUGCAAAAUAGCACCGUAUCUUCGGUAUAAGGUGUGGUUAGCCUUGUAUUAGGAUUUACUCCGAAAGCAA